GGGUUGUGAGGUUAAGCGACUAAGCGUACACGGUGGAUGCCCUGGCAGUCAGAGGCGAUGAAGGGCGUGCUAAUCUGCGAUAAGCGCCGGUAAGGUGAUAUGAACCGUUAUAACCGGCGAUACCCGAAUGGGGAAACCCAGUGUGACUCGUCACACUAUCAUUAACUGAAUCCAUAGGUUAAUGAGGCGAACCGGGGGAACUGAAACAUCUAAGUACCCCGAGGAAAAGAAAUCAACCGAGAUUCCCCCAGUAGCGGCGAGCGAACGGGGAGGAGCCCAGAGCCUGAAUCAGCAUGUGUGUUAGUGGAAGCGUCUGGAAAGGCGCGCGAUACAGGGUGACAGCCCCGUACACAAAAGCGCAUGUGCUGUGAGCUCGAUGAGUAGGGCGGGACACGUGGUAUCCUGUCUGAAUAUGGGGGGACCAUCCUCCAAGGCUAAAUACUCCUGACUGACCGAUAGUGAACCAGUACCGUGAGGGAAAGGCGAAAAGAACCCCGGCGAGGGGAGUGAAAAAGAACCUGAAACCGUGUACGUACAAGCAG
This 542-nucleotide ribosomal RNA is filed under the name Salmonella enterica subsp. enterica serovar Infantis. RNAcentral's name for it is "partial 23S ribosomal RNA". It matches the Rfam family "Bacterial large subunit ribosomal RNA", at positions 1 to 573 of the family's 2925-position model. Lineage: Bacteria; Pseudomonadati; Pseudomonadota; Gammaproteobacteria; Enterobacterales; Enterobacteriaceae. The record is from RNAcentral. RNAcentral also lists the same sequence under 1 other name.